GACGAACGCUGGCGGCGUGCUUAACACAUGCAAGUCGAACGGAAAGGCCCUGCUUUUGUGGGGUGCUCGAGUGGCGAACGGGUGAGUAACACGUGAGUAACCUGCCCUUGACUUUGGGAUAACUUCAGGAAACUGGGGCUAAUACUGGAUAGGAGCUCCUGCUGCAUGGUGGGGGUUGGAAAGUUUCGGCGGUUGGGGAUGGACUCGCGGCUUAUCAGCUUGUUGGUGGGGUAGUGGCUUACCAAGGCUUUGACGGGUAGCCGGCCUGAGAGGGUGACCGGCCACAUUGGGACUGAGAUACGGCCCAGACUCCUACGGGAGGCAGGAGUGGGGAAUAUUGCACAAUGGGCGGAAGCCUGAUGCAGCAACGCCGCGUGCGGGAGGACGGCCUUCGGGUUGUAAACCGCUUUCGCCUGUGACGAAGCGUGAGUGACGGGAAUGGGUAAAGAAGCACCGGCUAACUACGG
This 467-nucleotide ribosomal RNA is filed under the name uncultured bacterium. RNAcentral describes it as "partial 16S ribosomal RNA". It matches the Rfam family "Bacterial small subunit ribosomal RNA", at positions 28 to 506 of the family's 1533-position model. The record is from RNAcentral.